This is a small nuclear RNA of Spea bombifrons (plains spadefoot toad), 141 nucleotides long. RefSeq annotates it as U4 spliceosomal RNA. The transcript has a single exon. The record is from RefSeq and is a predicted model, not a curated record. NCBI's taxonomy places the organism in Eukaryota, Metazoa, Chordata, Amphibia, Anura, Pelobatidae.
UGCUUUGCAUGGUGGCAGUAUCAUACCCCAUGAUGAUCAAAGUGAGGUGUAAUUAUGCUAAUUGAAAACUAUUCCUAAUAUCGCAUGGUGAUGAUUUAAAAAAUAGUUAGUGCUGGCACUUUUUGACAGCUUCUUGUGAGG